RNAcentral lists this ribosomal RNA (728 nucleotides) under Rhodococcus sp. (in: high G+C Gram-positive bacteria). Its description in RNAcentral is "bacterial SSU rRNA". It matches the Rfam family "Bacterial small subunit ribosomal RNA", at positions 26 to 771 of the family's 1533-position model. The record is from RNAcentral. Lineage: Bacteria; Bacillati; Actinomycetota; Actinomycetes; Mycobacteriales; Nocardiaceae.
AGGACGAACGCUGGCGGCGUGCUUAACACAUGCAAGUCGAGCGGUAAGGCCUUUCGGGGUACACGAGCGGCGAACGGGUGAGUAACACGUGGGUGAUCUGCCCUGCACUCUGGGAUAAGCUUGGGAAACUGGGUCUAAUACCGGAUAUGACUGCAUCAUGCAUGUUGUGUGGUGGAAAGAUUUAUCGGUGCAGGAUGGGCCCGCGGCCUAUCAGCUUGUUGGUGGGGUAAUGGCCUACCAAGGCGACGACGGGUAGCCGACCUGAGAGGGUGACCGGCCACACUGGGACUGAGACACGGCCCAGACUCCUACGGGAGGCAGCAGUGGGGAAUAUUGCACAAUGGGCGGAAGCCUGAUGCAGCGACGCCGCGUGAGGGAUGAAGGCCUUCGGGUUGUAAACCUCUUUCAGCAGGGACGAAGCGUGAGUGACGGUACCUGCAGAAGAAGCACCGGCUAACUACGUGCCAGCAGCCGCGGUAAUACGUAGGGUGCGAGCGUUGUCCGGAAUUACUGGGCGUAAAGAGUUCGUAGGCGGUUUGUCGCGUCGUUUGUGAAAACCCGGGGCUCAACUUCGGGCUUGCAGGCGAUACGGGCAGACUUGAGUGUUUCAGGGGAGACUGGAAUUCCUGGUGUAGCGGUGAAAUGCGCAGAUAUCAGGAGGAACACCGGUGGCGAAGGCGGGUCUCUGGGAAACAACUGACGCUGAGGAACGAAAGCGUGGGUAGCAA